This 467-nucleotide ribosomal RNA is filed under the name uncultured bacterium. RNAcentral describes it as "partial 16S ribosomal RNA". It matches the Rfam family "Bacterial small subunit ribosomal RNA", at positions 28 to 506 of the family's 1533-position model. The record is from RNAcentral.
GACGAACGCUGGCGGCGUGCUUAACACAUGCAAGUCGAACGGAAAGGCCCUGCUUUUGUGGGGUGCUCGAGUGGCGAACGGGUGAGUAACACGUGAGUAACCUGCCCUUGACUUUGGGAUAACUUCAGGAAACUGGGGCUAAUACCGGAUAGGAGCUCCUGCUGCAUGGUGGGGGUUGGAAAGUUUCGGCGGUUGGGGAUGGACUCGCGGCUUAUCAGCUUGUUGGUGGGGUAGUGGCUUACCAAGGCUUUGACGGGUAGCCGGCCUGAGAGGGUGACCGGCCACAUUGGGACUGAGAUACGGCCCAGACUCCUACGGGAGGCAGCAGUGGGGAAUAUUGCACAAUGGGCGGAAGCCUGAUGCAGCAACGCCGCGUGCGGGAGGACGGCCUUCGGGUUGUAAACCGCUUUCGCCUGUGACGAAGCGUGAGGGACGGUAAUGGGUAAAGAAGCACCGGCUAACUACGU